RNAcentral lists this long non-coding RNA (6658 nucleotides) under Piliocolobus tephrosceles (Ugandan red Colobus). RNAcentral's name for it is "lncRNA (ENSPTEG00000002503.1)". The record is from RNAcentral. Lineage: Eukaryota; Metazoa; Chordata; Mammalia; Primates; Cercopithecidae.
AUUUAAUUAUAUCCAAACAAUUGCAUUUGAUACGUAUAUAUAUAAAAAACAAUAAAAAAAUUAAUAAAAUUUUUUUUUUGAAAAUGGGUAAUCGUAGCAGUAGUAGUAGAAGUAGAAGUAGUGGUAGUAGUAGUGGUAGUAGUAGUGGUAGUAGUCUUAAUGGUAGUAGUCAUAGUGGUAGUUCAAACCUAAGGUAUAAAAGUGUAAACACGAAAAACUAUUUAAAUGUUCAGAUUAGUACUGAAGACAAUAAAAAAUGUAUAAACAUAUACCCCUGUUUUUUUAUAUAUGUGCUAUAUGAUGAAAUGGUGUUGCGAUUUCAAGAUAAACAUAGAGAGAAUAUUGAAAGCAAAAAAAGUAUGAUUCGAGGUUAUAUGCGCAAGUCUACUAACGGGGCAUAUCAAAGUGAAACGCACACAUAUAUCCGUUUAAACUUUUUCAAAAGCACAUGUGUUAAUACAUGCUUAAUAAAAAAUGAUACAGAAAAAUUGAUGUCUGUCCCUUAUAAUUUUUUAAACAAAUGUAAAUUUAUUCAAUUGAUUUUAAAAAUAAAUAAACAAAUGUAUGUAAGUAAAAAGAUAAAAUUUAUGGAUAUAUUAAGAAUGAGAAAAAUUGCAUAUGUGGAUAUUUAUGGUAGAAUGUUUACUUUUUAUUGUAGUUUUUUUUAUUUGUUUAGUAAAAAUAAUGACCAUGGUAAUAAUGACUAUAGUAAUAAGCAGAAGAAGAAGAAGAAGAAGAUGAUGAUGAAGAUGAAGAAGAAAAAGAAAGUACAAAACAAUAGAAGUAGUCACUUGCAAAAACUCGUUAAAAUAACUGACAAUGCAAAAACAGCAUACUCGACGAAUUCGUAUUUAAACAAAAAAUCGACUAGUACCGAUUUUAAAAUAAAGGACGGAGAUGGAGAUGGAGAUGGAGAUGGAGAUGUACAAUUGCUAAAAGAUGAAGGUUCGUGUAGAAAAAGAAUGGACGCAUUGAAUAAGGGAAUUAAAAAGUAAAAAUUAGCAAAAAAUUAUGUUUGUGAAAUAUUACCAGGGAGGUACAGUAUAACAUAUGUCAUGGAACGUGGCAUGGCAAAUACCACACAGAAAAAGUCGGACAAAAUACAAAACGAAAUGAAUAGUGCUAAAGUAUUUAUGAUUUACAAACUGGUUGAAAAGGAUUUGCAUGUAAUGUGUAUAGAAAAUUGCAUCAAACUAAUAAAUUUAACUCCAUUUAAUAUUAAUGUAUUAUUAAAACUAGAAAAAGGAAGUAUAAAGACGUAUAAAUUGAAUAGUUUUAAGUGUAUAAAUGUAUAUGAUUUUUGUUUUUUACAUAAUAUAAUUCUAAGUUUUAGUAUAGCUUUGUAUAGAAAGUGGAUCCAAUUUAUACGAAUCAAUAAUGAAGAGUUUUUUUUUUUUGAUGAAAAAAAAUUAAACAAGACCCAGACAAGGAAUGAUUUUAAUAAUAAUACAUCCGAGUAUGAUACAAAUAUUGGUAGUAAUUUUGAUACAAAUAUUGGUAGUAAUUAUGAUACGAAUAAUAUGAAUAACAACAGUACUAGCGAUAAAACUUAUACAAGUAUAAAUAAUAAUGUAAAUAUAAUUUUCUAUAAAAUAAUAAAAUGUCAGGGUUUAUAUUUUGUUAUAUACAUAUAUUUUUAUGAGCAUAAGUACUAUAUUACAUUUGUUAGCAAAUAUAACAUAAUUAAUUACACCAAAAAUAUAAUUCAUUAUCACAUUAUAAAUAAUGAAGAAGAAAGUUUUGUGAAUGACUUGGCAUUAAGAUGUUAUAACAAAAAAAGUGAACUGAUGGAUAAUUGGGCAGAGUUGAAAAAGUAUGUAUUGGUAUUAUAUCCGGGUUUGGAAAGUAAGGUCACAUUUUGCAGAUUUGAUCGGAAUGUACAAAGUUGGGGUGGACGUAAGAGUAGUAAAGGUGACAAUACUUGUAGUGAUGGGAGUAGCAGUAGCAGUAGCAGUAGCAGUAGCAGUAGCAGUAGCAGUAGUAGUAGUAGCAGCAAUACGAAUGGCAUAAAAAAGAAAAGUUUCCGAAUUUAUAAAAAAAAAAUUGAUAAAGAUACAAAUGAAGACAAAACAAUAAUAAAAACGUAUUGUUUUGAUCAUCGCUUUAUUAUUAAUACUAAUCUAAAAGUAAUAAACCAAGACGUUACAUCAUAUGAAAACAACAAAGCAUAUACAAAAAUUACAAAAUUAAAUGAUGAUUAUAUAAUAAUAAAUAUAAAAAUAUUUAAUUAUCAUGGUUUUAAUAUAUCAUUUAUUGAAUUUCGUUCUUAUGUUUUAAUAGUCAAUCUGACAAAAUAUAAUUUUAUAAUUAAAACGAAGGACCACGAAACGUUGAAGAGGGAACAUAACACGGGUGUAGUUUGUCAUUACGGAAAAGAUUACACCCCAACUAGUAACAAUAGCAGCAGUAGUAGCGGUAGUAGUAACAGUAGUAACAGUAGUAGCAAGAGCAGUAGCAAGAGCAGUAGUAAUAAUAAUAAUAAAAAAAAAAAUAAAAAAAAUAAAAUAAAAAAAAAAUAUAACUUCGAAAAUACAUCAUCUGAUGAAUAUAAUACAAAUAUAGCUAAACGGGUAGAUAAAGAAGAUAUAUUUAAUUGUAGGUACGAUUCUAAUGAAAGUGAAGAAUGUAUUUUAAGUGAGUAUUCUAGGGGUUCUCUUUCUGGUGACACAGACUUAACGCGAAAAGGUUUUUAUAAGAGUGUAAAAGGUUUAAGAAGUAAUAAAAAAAGGAACUACAUCAUAAAACGUGAAACACAGAUGAACCGCUACGACAGCAGUAACAGCAAGGGUAAUAGUGACGGUAAGGGAGAGGACAAGAGCAAGAGCAGAAAAAGCAACACUAACGGUAACGGUAACGGUUACGGUAACGGUAAUGGUAAUGGUAACAUUUAUGGUAACAGUUAUGGUAACAGUUAUGGUAACAGUUAUGUGCGUACAUUAUUUUCAGCAUUUGCAAACAAAGCAAAACGUAACGGGGCAGAAGAAAACACAAACCUAUUAAAAAGCAUGAACAUGCAGGAGUUGAAGAUAAAAAAUAAAAGUACAUGGGAUUUUAUCAGCUUGAAAAUUAAAGAUACACAAAAAAAGGGUUCAGAAAAAAUGGGUUCAGAAAAAAUUGGUUCAGAAAAAAUUGGUUCAGAAAAAAUUGGUUCAGAAAAAAUUGGUUCAGAAAAAAUGGGUUCAGAAAAAAUGGGUUCAGAAAAAAUGGGUUCAAAAAAAACGGGUUCAGAAAAAACGGGCCCAGAAGUGAUGAGUUUAGACUUUGUAAACAAAACGAAUGAAACAAGAACAAAUGAAAAGAUCCACUAUUUUAAUGACUAUGACAAGGAGUAUAUCCCAAAAAAGAAAACAAAACUGACUAAUGGAAAAAAAAUAUUAAAUUAUAAAUAUGCGAUGGAUAUCAUAAAAAAAAAUUGUUACUCUGUAAAAGAAAUGGAUGAAACAGAAGAUGAAAUAGGGGGAAUAAAAAAAACAUUUUUAAAAAAUGAAGACUCACAAAAAAAGUAUAUUAUAUGUAAUUACAUGAGGAUACAUAAAAAUAUGAAUAAAUAUUUUUAUAUGUAUAAAUAUAAACAAAUAAAUACGACAAAUUAUGAAUCUUAUAUUGUUGUUAAAGAAUUGUUGUUUCAUAUGAUAUCAAUAGAACAUGAUAAAACAAAUUAUAUAAUUAUUAAAAAGGUUCCAUUUCAUAACGGUUAUAACGAUUGUAGUAGUACACUUAGUCAUAUGAAUACGAAUAUGGAUGACUUUACUACUAAAGUAAAUGAUAUAGAUACUAAAGUAAAUGAUAUAUUUUCAACAGAAGAAACGGAGGCAGAAGUUGAAUUAUUAACUAACAAAUAUAAUCACUUACAACAGACGUAUACUUCAUUUAAAAAAACAGACUUAAGUAAUAUUAGUUUUUAUAAUAUGAAAGAUAAUAUAUUCAACAGGGUAUUGCAAAAAUAUAAAGAAUUAAUUUGUAAUAAGAUUGUUAAAAAUGGUUGUAUUUUUAUUUUCAAUAAUUUGAACUUACCUUUUUUUGUUACACAUACAAAAAGUAAUUUACUUUUUUUAAUCAAUACAAGAUAUGUACAUUUUAUAGAAAGAAAGAAUUUGUUUUUCUUUUUUCCAAAAUAUAUUUUAAUGAAUAAAAAAAUAAAAAUUCUAUUAAAAUUGAACCAACUAGCUGUAGGUAAAUACGAAACGGUACGUAAUUACAUACAUCUUAGACAAAAUGAACAUAUUUUGUCUAGUUUUUAUAUAAUGCAUCUGAAUUUAGUCUGUAACAUAGUAUCCAAUUUUUAUUUUUAUUCAUUUAUGUUUAAAAAGAGGAAGAUGGUUUAUAGGAGAAGGCGUGGAUACGUUGAUGUUCGUGUAGUAAAAAGUAGUAACAAAAAUGUUAAAAAGGAGGAGGUUUACACGUCAAAAGAAAUGAGUGGGCGUGGUAGUACAAAUUAUGAUAAGCCUCACAAAUACAACAAACGUGAGAAACGAAAAAACUUAUAUCAUAAAUGUAGCAGUAGUAUUAGUACUGGUAGUAGUAGUAGUAGUAGUAGUAGUAGUAGUAGUAGCAGUAGUAGUAGUAGUAGUAGUCAUGAAAAUAUUAAUACAAAAAAAACGAUUGUAUAUUACGAACUUUACCUUGUUCGAUUUUCCUGUGAUAUUAUAAUAAAUAUGAAUAACGAAUUAAAUAUAAUUGUUAAUGGUAUGUCAGAGAAUGUUUUUUUAAAACGGUUAUUGUCACUUGAUUAUUUUUUCCAGUUUAUUCCUUAUAAAGCAAAUGAAUUCAUGUUCAAACAUAAUUUAUUAAUACAUAAAAAUGAAAUAAACAAUUAUCAAAAGAAUAGUAAUACUACUACUACUCCUCCUACUAAUACUACUCCUCCUACCACUACUAUUACUAAUACUAGUAGUAUUAGUAUUGAUAGUGGUGGUAGUAGUUAUAAUAAUAAUAAUGAUAUCAUAUAUAUAAAUAAUAUAUACGGAUUAACCAGUAGCGACUUAAUAAAAAUAAAAAUUUGCAUUAGUAGCAUGAAUAUUCUUUUUGAUUUUUAUGACAUUGGAAAUAGUCCAUGGUCAAAGGGGGGAGAGGACGCAGGAGGAUCAGAAAACCGAACGGUAAAUAUACAACAAAAAAUACAUCUAAGUCAGGUUGAAUUUUCAUUUUUUACUUUUCAUUAUUUGAAUGAUAAAAUGCUUGAGGAAAAAAAAAAUUGUUUACAGUUUUUUAAUCCAUUGGACAUAGCACAAGUAAAAAAAGAAAAAAAAAGAAAAAAAAAGGCCACCACUGCUGGAGUGUUUGCAAACUAUACAAAUUUAAAUCGGGUAAAAGCAAAUGGGUUAAAUAAAAGUGGACCAAAUAAAAGUGGACCAAAUAAAAGUGGACCAAAUAAAAGUGGGCCAAAUACAAAUGUAAGCAAUGACACUUAUAAUAAAUCUAUUUUUUAUAAUAGUCAGAAAAAUAAUUUUGUUAAUUUAAAAAGGAAAAAGAGAAAAAGUGAUACACAUGGUCAACGCUACAGUAACAACGACAACGAUGAGAACGACACGCACACACAGAUAGAUUCUCAAGAAAACAUCGGUAACGGAGUGUAUAAACGUGAGGAUUUGAGUCUACUAAACAAAUGGGAUACCGUUGAUUCUUUGUACCCACAAGACGUAACCAAUUCGUGUACACUUAACAUAACCAAUCCGUAUACACUUAACAUAACCAAUCCGUAUACACUUAACAUAGCCAAUUCGUAUCCAUCUAACAUAAGCAAUUCGUAUUCAUAUGAUGUAUGUACGACAUCCCAACACAAAAGCGUUGGCGAUAUAUACAACUUGCUUAAAAAAAAAAAAUAUGUACAAAAUCACUUUUAUAUGCUCAGGAGUUAUAAAAAAAAUAAAAAAUUGUAUAAAAGGCUUUUUAGUUUAUUAAAAAAAAAAAUUUUAGCUAUGUGUUUAAAUUUUACUGAAUUUUAUAAAAAGAUAUCAAUAACAAUUGAUAACUUAACUGUUACUAAAUUUAAUUUAUAUAAUAAAAAGAAUUUUGAAUACAAUUAUACAUUAUUAACAAAAUAUAAUAAUUUUGAAAAAUUUAUACGUAUAAACAUAGAUAUAUAUAAACAAAGGAGUAUGAAAUAUAAACAUAUAUACAACACGUUGAAUAUAUUAUAUGCUUGUUGUCACAUAAAAGAGAUGAAAAAUAAACGGAAGAAACAUAAGAUGGUGGAUAAUUACAAUAAGUAUGUUACGCAGAGUAAUGCUAUUUAUGAUGAUGUUAUUUUUGAUGGUUCUAUUUGUGACGGUUCUAUUUGUGGUGGUACAAUUUGCGAUGGUGUAACAUACGACGGCGAUAGCUCCAAACAUAACAUCAUGCCUACUACCAUGCUCAAACACAAACGUGAUCGGUUAAGCAUGGACAAAACAGAAAGCAAUCAUCUAAGAAUAAUAAACUCAAACAGCUUUAUAAAAAACAGAGAACAUGCUAUGUUAUACAACGCUUAUUACUAUUAUUAUUAUCAUCAUCAUCAUCAUUAUUAUUAUAAUAAUGGCAAAAAUGAAAAAUGUAAUAAAAAUCAUAUUGAUUAUGAUAAAUCGUUAUACGAUGAAAAGAAUAAAAAUAAUACCGACUUAUGUUCCUAUAAUAAAAUGAAUAAUAUAUGUAUAAAUUCGCCUUAUAAUUCAAAUGAAAA